GUAAACAACUAUUUGAUAAUUGCCAUUGUUUAGUAUGCAUUUUUAAAAAUUUGAAUAUCAGGGUGAUUGGUUUUUGUUCAGUCUGAAUUCUGUUUCGAGUGGAAACAAUUUUUGUUUCUGCUUUUACGACUUAUGUCAAGAUGAAGCAUUUCCACAAGCCUGUAAGCCCUGUUGUGUCGUCUGGUAAUGCUGGCCCUGUCGCCCACCUCAUUAGCUUAUUAUAGAGGUUCGUCAAGGGUGUAUAAUUUGAAAGGAUAUAAUUAUAUACUCACUGAACAUAUUACCCAUAAUCAGCUGCUAAAUAGUUGAGCCAGUGCUAGUCUGCGGGAACAAUAAUCACUGUUCUCUAAGGCAAAGGACACAAAUCCGAACCACGAGAGGUGAGCUAAAGGUAGGAGGCUCCUCUCUCUCCCCGGUCAGGGUACAACUCGUUGAAUUGAAGAGCUUCUAUUUGAAGUGUCAAACAAGUGCAGGUACUAUCUUCGAUGACAAACUUAAAUGGGACAUCAGCACUGACACAAUCCUCCGUAAGUCAACAACGCCUGUACCUCCUACACAAACUCAGAUCUUCCUUUCUCAGCUCUGUCAUCCUCACUGGUUCUAUCAGUCCUUCAUCGAAAGUCUCAUCACUUUUUCUUCUAUCUCUUGGAACAGGAAGAGUCCUGUCUCCCAUGAUAGUAUCUGUGCCAAGAACACCGGAAUCAGGCAGAGGGACUUGACAGUCUCUUUUCAUCAAAUCCUCAGGGAGGCAUCCUCUGUAUUUCUGAUCAUGUGUUGACAUGUGAGUUUUCACUCUGGUAGUCUGGCUGUAGGUACCCAUGUCUGUAUGACAUAGUAUUGUAUGGUAUGGUAUGGUAUUGUUUGUAUGGCAUUGCAAUGUAUUGUAUUGCACGCUCAGAGACCAGGGCUAGAAACUGAAACUGAGAACUGCAUGUGGGUGAGACAUUCAAGGAUAAGGGAAUGUGGUGUCACAAUCAUGUAUCGUGUUGUUUCGCUCACAAAUACAAACACAUCUGCCUACAGGUCAUCUAGUGUUUGACAAUAACAGUAAGGUGAUCCUCGAUGUAACCAUUUGCUCGUUAACCUUCGCUUCUCCUGUUCCCUCCAAUGCAUGUGGCUUGAAGUCGGACUCCGAUGUCAUGCGUUCACUAACAAACUGUCCCAGCACCGCUCGCGGCUGUAUUCAUUAGUGUUGUGAACAUGUACUGUCCCUCCAGUUAGAUAAUGGAAGAGAAAGGGAGAAGACCAUUUUAAUUAACCUUCGCUGGCAGCGCUUGCCUUCCCAGGAAGACACGACAAGGGGAGGAACACCACGUGUAGGGAGAGGAAGCUGCGUCUUCUGACAAAGCUGUCCAUAGGCGCAGUCUACGUAGCCGGGAGAUGGACUGAGUGUUUGGAGCUGAUGUCAGAAAGUAUUUGAAGCAGAGAAUACAAUGUGGAGCAUCUGGCCCCAGUAGCCGCCAGGAGCCGCUCACAUCACAGGUGAAAACUUGCUGACCAACAGCAGCAGGACAAGAAGAUUGAGUUCGCUCGUCCCCAGGAGGCAGCCACGAUGUGUUUUAACGUCUGUCUCCUGGCAGUGAUUUUUAAAAAAAAAUUAUUUAUGGAAUAUAUUUUACUUUAAUACAUGCAACAUCGGACUGCAGUGACUAUAAUUAAAGAUGUAAAAGAACACUAUCAAGUGUGGAGGGUAAACAGGGACCUAAGUUCCAGACUACAAACUUGUAGUAGUAGUCUAACAAUCAACCAGAAAAAAAGGAACUUUCUUUAAGGACUGUGUUUGCAAUUAGAGACUUUAAUAAGUAAUGAGAGAAAGUAGUAAUUAGGACUGAUGUAUGUAUACUGAGAAAUCACUGUUCUACUUUAUCGUUUACUUUUUAAUUAGUCACUCUAUAAUAAAUUUUGUCGAUAUACUUAUAUCGAUAUAUAUCUAUAGACCUGCAAACAGGCAGAGUUCGCUGUCUUGUUUUGUGAAUAAAAUGUCCAGGCAA
RNAcentral lists this long non-coding RNA (1991 nucleotides) under Pomacea canaliculata. RNAcentral describes it as "uncharacterized LOC112570432". Lineage: Eukaryota; Metazoa; Mollusca; Gastropoda; Architaenioglossa; Ampullariidae. The record is from RNAcentral.